Molecule: transfer RNA, 109 nt
Filed under: Agrocybe pediades
Lineage: Eukaryota; Fungi; Basidiomycota; Agaricomycetes; Agaricales; Agrocybaceae
Description: tRNA-Ser
Source: RNAcentral
GUCACUUUGCCGGAGUGGUUAACGGGAUCGCCUGCUAUCAGCCAUUGCUUUGGGUUGGGCUUUCAGCGGUUGGGCUUUGCCCGCGAGUGUUCGAAUCGCUCAGGUGACG